This 500-nucleotide ribosomal RNA is filed under the name Bacillus subtilis. RNAcentral's name for it is "bacterial SSU rRNA". It matches the Rfam family "Bacterial small subunit ribosomal RNA", at positions 72 to 556 of the family's 1533-position model. The record is from RNAcentral. Lineage: Bacteria; Bacillati; Bacillota; Bacilli; Caryophanales; Bacillaceae.
AUGGGAGCUUGCUCCCUGAUGUUAGCGGCGGACGGGUGAGUAACACGUGGGUAACCUGCCUGUAAGACUGGGAUAACUCCGGGAAACCGGGGCUAAUACCGGAUGGUUGUUUGAACCGCAUGGUUCAAACAUAAAAGGUGGCUUCGGCUACCACUUACAGAUGGACCCGCGGCGCAUUAGCUAGUUGGUGAGGUAACGGCUCACCAAGGCAACGAUGCGUAGCCGACCUGAGAGGGUGAUCGGCCACACUGGGACUGAGACACGGCCCAGACUCCUACGGGAGGCAGCAGUAGGGAAUCUUCCGCAAUGGACGAAAGUCUGACGGAGCAACGCCGCGUGAGUGAUGAAGGUUUUCGGAUCGUAAAGCUCUGUUGUUAGGGAAGAACAAGUACCGUUCGAAUAGGGCGGUACCUUGACGGUACCUAACCAGAAAGCCACGGCUAACUACGUGCCAGCAGCCGCGGUAAUACGUAGGUGGCAAGCGUUGUCCGGAAUUAUUG